Molecule: long non-coding RNA, 137 nt
Filed under: Zonotrichia albicollis (white-throated sparrow)
Lineage: Eukaryota; Metazoa; Chordata; Aves; Passeriformes; Passerellidae
Description: lncRNA (ENSZALG00000016984.1)
Source: RNAcentral
AGCCCAUCCUUCUUCAGGAGCCCACAGACUUCCUUGGCCCCUGGAGUGGUGAAAGGCUGAUACUGGAAUUUGGAGGAGGCUCAGAGCAGGAGGCUGGGAUGUGUGAUGGUGUGAAGGGAAGCUGGACUGAAAAAGGC